Long non-coding RNA from Lagopus leucura (white-tailed ptarmigan), 272 nucleotides. RefSeq lists it as uncharacterized. The transcript is spliced from 3 exons. NCBI's taxonomy places the organism in Eukaryota, Metazoa, Chordata, Aves, Galliformes, Phasianidae. The record is from RefSeq and is a predicted model, not a curated record.
UGCUUCUUACACGGCUCUUUCGAAAGGUUAAUCAUCAAACUUUAGUUUGGGACUAUAUAAUGUACUUCCCACCUCCGCCCACUGUACCAUGAGAUCAACAAGAUUAGAUAUCUCUGUAACCUGCUCACCAGCAAAAUGUGAUAUUCUGGCUGAGACAAGAAGCUAAGAACAACUGGCCUGCAAGAUUAAGACUGGCUAUCAUACUGUGGCUCUGUAACCCUCUGCUGGACUAAACCUGAAGUUUGCUGUACAUGGUUUGUGUCGACAUCAGA